ACGGGUGAGUAACACGUAUCCAACCUGCCGUCUACUCUUGGACAGCCUUCUGAAAGGAAGAUUAAUACAAGAUGGCAUCAUGAGUCCGCAUGUUCACAUGAUUAAAGGUAUUCCGGUAGACGAUGGGGAUGCGUUCCAUUAGAUAGUAGGCGGGGUAACGGCCCACCUAGUCUUCGAUGGAUAGGGGUUCUGAGAGGAAGGUCCCCCGCAUUGGAACUGAGACACGGUCCAA
Molecule: ribosomal RNA, 232 nt
Filed under: uncultured bacterium
Lineage: Bacteria
Description: partial 16S ribosomal RNA
Rfam family: Bacterial small subunit ribosomal RNA
Source: RNAcentral